RNAcentral lists this ribosomal RNA (447 nucleotides) under uncultured bacterium. RNAcentral describes it as "partial 16S ribosomal RNA". It matches the Rfam family "Bacterial small subunit ribosomal RNA", at positions 61 to 523 of the family's 1533-position model. The record is from RNAcentral.
GUCGAACGAUGAAGGAGAGCUUGCUCUCCGGAUUAGUGGCGAACGGGUGAGUAACACGUGACUAACCUGCCCCUUUCUCUGGGAUAACGCUCCGAAAGGAGUGCUAAUACCGGAUACGAACUCUGAACACAUGUUCGGAGUUGGAAAGUUUUUCGGAAAGGGAUGGAGUCGCGGCCUAUCAGCUUGUUGGUGAGGUAAUGGCUCACCAAGGCGACGAUCAGUAUCUGGUUUGAGAGGAUGAUCAGACACACUGGAACUGAGACACGGUCCAGACUCCUACGGGAGGCAGCAGUGGGGAAUUUUCCGCAAUGGGCGAAAGCCUGACGGAGCAAUACCGCGUGAGGGAUGAAGGCCUAUGGGUUGUAAACCUCUUUUUUCAGGGAGGAACAAAAUGACGUGUACCUGAAGAAUAAGCAUCGGCUAACUCCGUGCCAGCCGCCGCAGUAA